ACAGAGGGUGCAAGCGUUAAUCGGAAUUACUGGGCGUAAAGCGUGCGCAGACGGUUGCGUAAGUCAGAUGUGAAAGCCCCGGGCUCAACCUGGGAAUUGCAUUUGAGACUGCGUAGCUAGGGUGCGGAAGAGGGAAGCGGAAUUUCCGGUGUAGCGGUGAAAUGCGUAGAUAUCGGGAGGAACAUCUGUGGCGAAGGCGACACCAUGGACCAGCACUGACACUGAGGCACGAAAGCGCGGGGAGCAAACAGGA
This 253-nucleotide ribosomal RNA is filed under the name uncultured prokaryote. RNAcentral describes it as "partial 16S ribosomal RNA". It matches the Rfam family "Bacterial small subunit ribosomal RNA", at positions 525 to 777 of the family's 1533-position model. The record is from RNAcentral.